UACGUAGGGCGCAAGCGUUGUCCGGAAUUAUUGGGCGUAAAGAGCUCGUAGGCGGCCUGUUGCGUCCGCUGUGAAAUCCCGGGGCUCAACCCCGGGCCUGCAGUGGAUACGGGCUGGCUAGAGGCAGGCAGGGGAGAACGGAAUUCCUGGUGUAGCGGUGAAAUGCGCAGAUAUCAGGAGGAACACCGGUGGCGAAGGCGGUUCUCUGGGCCUGUACUGACGCUGAGGAGCGAAAGCGUGGGGAGCAAACGGG
Molecule: ribosomal RNA, 253 nt
Filed under: uncultured bacterium
Lineage: Bacteria
Description: partial 16S ribosomal RNA
Rfam family: Bacterial small subunit ribosomal RNA
Source: RNAcentral